UACGUAGGGCGCAAGCGUUAUCCGGAAUUAUUGGGCGUAAAGAGCUCGUAGGCGGUUUGUCGCGUCUGCCGUGAAAGUCCGGGGCUCAACUCCGGAUCUGCGGUGGGUACGGGCAGACUAGAGUGAUGUAGGGGAGACUGAAAUUCCUGGUGUAGCGGUGAAAUGCGCAGAUAUCAGGAGGAACACCGGUGGCGAAGGCGGUUCUCUGGGCAUGAUCUGACGCUGAGGAGCGAAAGUGUGGGGAGCAAACAGG
This 253-nucleotide ribosomal RNA is filed under the name uncultured bacterium. RNAcentral's name for it is "partial 16S ribosomal RNA". It matches the Rfam family "Bacterial small subunit ribosomal RNA", at positions 524 to 776 of the family's 1533-position model. The record is from RNAcentral.